RNAcentral lists this ribosomal RNA (482 nucleotides) under uncultured bacterium. RNAcentral describes it as "partial 16S ribosomal RNA". It matches the Rfam family "Bacterial small subunit ribosomal RNA", at positions 30 to 507 of the family's 1533-position model. The record is from RNAcentral.
AUUGAACGCUGGCGGCAUGCUUUACACAUGCAAGUCGAGCGGUAACAGGCCGCAAGGUGCUGACGAGUGGCGAACGGGUGCGUAAUGCAUCGGAACGUGCCCAGUCGUGGGGGAUAACUACUCGAAAGAGUAGCUAAUACCGCAUACGAUCUAUGGAUGAAAGCGGGGGACCGUAAGGCCUCGCGCGAUUGGAGCGGCCGCUGUCAGAUUAGGUAGUUGGUGGGGUAAAGGCUCACCAAGCCAACGAUCUGUAGCUGGUCUGAGAGGACGAACAGCCACACUGGGACUGAGACACGGCCCAGACUCCUACGGGAGGCAGCAGUGGGGAAUUUUGGACAAUGGGCGCAAGCCUGAUCCAGCAAUGCCGCGUGCAGGAAGAAGGCCUUCGGGUUGUAAACUGCUUUUGUACGGAACGAAACGGCUCUGGUUAAUACCCGGGGCUAAUGACGGUACCGUAAGAAUAAGCACCGGCUAACUACGUG